Molecule: ribosomal RNA, 253 nt
Filed under: uncultured bacterium
Lineage: Bacteria
Description: partial 16S ribosomal RNA
Rfam family: Bacterial small subunit ribosomal RNA
Source: RNAcentral
UACGGAGGGAGCUAGCGUUGUUCGGAAUUACUGGGCGUAAAGCGCACGUAGGCGGCUUUUUAAGUCAGGGGUGAAAUCCCGGGGCUCAACCUCGGAACUGCCCUUGAAACUGGGAAGCUAGAAUCCUGGAGAGGCGAGUGGAAUUCCGAGUGUAGAGGUGAAAUUCGUAGAUAUUCGGAAGAACACCAGUGGCGAAGGCGACUCGCUGGACAGGUAUUGACGCUGAGGUGCGAAAGCGUGGGGAGCAAACAGG